UACGUAGGGGGCGAGCGUUGUCCGGAUUCAUUGGGCGUAAAGCGCGCGUAGGCGGCCCCGCAAGUCGGCCGUGAAAUCUCCGGGCUCAACUCGGAGGGGUCGGGCGAGACUGCGGGGCUCGAGGUGGGCAGAGGGCAGUGGAAUUCCGGGUGUAGCGGUGAAAUGCGCAGAUAUCAGGAGGAACACCGGUGGCGAAGGCGGGUCUCUGGGCCGAUACUGACGCUGAGGAGCGAAAGCAUGGGUAGCGAACAGG
This 253-nucleotide ribosomal RNA is filed under the name uncultured bacterium. RNAcentral's name for it is "partial 16S ribosomal RNA". It matches the Rfam family "Bacterial small subunit ribosomal RNA", at positions 524 to 776 of the family's 1533-position model. The record is from RNAcentral.